RNAcentral lists this ribosomal RNA (253 nucleotides) under uncultured bacterium. RNAcentral's name for it is "partial 16S ribosomal RNA". It matches the Rfam family "Bacterial small subunit ribosomal RNA", at positions 524 to 776 of the family's 1533-position model. The record is from RNAcentral.
UACGUAGGGUGCGAGCGUUAAUCGGAAUUACUGGGCGUAAAGCGUGCGUAGGUGGUUUGUUAAGUCUGAUGUGAAAGCCCUGGGCUCAACCUGGGAACUGCAUUGGAUACUGGCUUACUAGAGUGCGGUAGAGGGGUGUGGAAUUCCCGGUGUAGCAGUGAAAUGCGUAGAUAUCGGGAGGAACAUCUGUGGCGAAGGCGACACCCUGGACCAGCACUGACACUGAGGCACGAAAGCGUGGGGAGCAAACAGG